This 450-nucleotide ribosomal RNA is filed under the name uncultured bacterium. RNAcentral describes it as "partial 16S ribosomal RNA". It matches the Rfam family "Bacterial small subunit ribosomal RNA", at positions 329 to 797 of the family's 1533-position model. The record is from RNAcentral.
CACCAGACUCCUACGGGAGGCAGCAGUGGGGAAUAUUGGGCAAUGGGCGCAAGCCUGACCCAGCAACGCCGCGUGAAGGAAGAAGGCUUUCGGGUUGUAAACUUCUUUUAAGAGGGAAGAGAAGAAGACGGUACCUCUUGAAUAAGCCACGGCUAACUACGUGCCAGCAGCCGCGGUAAUACGUAGGUGGCGAGCGUUGUCCGGAAUUACUGGGUGUAAAGGGAGCGUAGGCGGGAGAGCAAGUCGACUGUGAAAUCUAUGGGCUUAACCCAUAGCUGCGAUCGAAACUGUUCAUCUUGAGUGAAGUAGAGGCAGGCGGAAUUCCUAGUGUAGCGGUGAAAUGCGUAAAUAUUAGGAGGAACACCAGUGGCGAAGGCGGCCUGCUGGGCUUUAACUGACGCUGAGGCUCGAAAGCGCGGGUAGCAAACAGGAUUAGAUACCCGCGUACCG